UGAGGAAUAUUGGUCAAUGGACGAGAGUCUGAACCAGCCAAGUAGCGUGAAGGAUGACUGCCCUAUGGGUUGUAAACUUCUUUUAUACGGGAAUAAAGUGAGGCACGUGUGCCUUUUUGUAUGUACCGUAUGAAUAAGGAUCGGCUAACUCCGUGCCAGCAGCCGCGGUAAUACGGAGGAUCCGAGCGUUAUCCGGAUUUAUUGGGUUUAAAGGGAGCGUAGGCGGGUUGUUAAGUCAGUUGUGAAAGUUUGCGGCUCAACCGUAAAAUUGCAGUUGAUACUGGCGACCUUGAGUGCAACAGAGGUAGGCGGAAUUCGUGGUGUAGCGGUGAAAUGCUUAGAUAUCACGAAGAACUCCGAUUGCGAAGGCAGCUUACUGGAUUGUAACUGACGCUGAUGCUCGAAAGUGUGGGUAUCAAACAGGAUUAGAUACCCUGGUAGUCCACACAGUAAACGAUGAAUACUCGCUGUUGGCGAUAUACGGUCAGCGGCCAAGCGAAAGCAUUAAGUAUUCCACCUGGGGAGUACGCCGGCAACGGUGAAACUCAAAGGAAUUGACGGGGGCCCGCACAAGCGGAGGAACAUGUGGUUUAAUUCGAUGAUACGCGAGGAACCUUACCCGGGCUUAAAUUGCAACUGACUGAACCGGAAACGGUUCUUUCUUCGGACAGUUGUGAAGGUGCUGCAUGGUUGUCGUCAGCUCGUGCCGUGAGGUGUCGGCUUAAGUGCCAUAACGAGCGCAACCCUUAUCGAUAGUUACUAGCAGGUCAUGCUGAGGACUCUAUUGAGACUGCCGUCGUAAGAUGUGAGGAAGGUGGGGAUGACGUCAAAUCAGCACGGCCCUUACGUCCGGGGCUACACACGUGUUACAAUGGGGGGUACAGAAGGCAGCUACACGGCGACGUGGUGCUAAUCCCGAAAGCCUCUCUCAGUUCGGAUUGGAGUCUGCAACCCGACUCCAUGAAGCUGGAUUCGCUAGUAAUCGCGCAUCAGCCACGGCGCGGUGAAUACGUUCCC
RNAcentral lists this ribosomal RNA (1017 nucleotides) under uncultured organism. RNAcentral describes it as "bacterial SSU rRNA". It matches the Rfam family "Bacterial small subunit ribosomal RNA", at positions 355 to 1375 of the family's 1533-position model. The record is from RNAcentral.